RNAcentral lists this ribosomal RNA (658 nucleotides) under Entoloma tjallingiorum. Its description in RNAcentral is "partial small subunit ribosomal RNA". It matches the Rfam family "Bacterial small subunit ribosomal RNA", at positions 349 to 963 of the family's 1533-position model. Lineage: Eukaryota; Fungi; Basidiomycota; Agaricomycetes; Agaricales; Entolomataceae. The record is from RNAcentral.
CAGCAGUCAAGAAUAUUAGUCAAUGCUCGCAAGAGUGAACUAGCUAACUGAAAUAACAUGACCCAUUACGUAUGGUGAAUGUUAUAACGUAAGGGAAAAAAAUGAUAUUACCUUACUAUUAGUGUUGUCCAAAACUGGUGCCAGAAGACUCGGUAAGACCAGAAACGCAAACGUUAGUCGUCUUAAUCAGGCGUAAAGGGUAUGUAGGCUGCUUUAAAAGUUCUAUAUUUAAAAUAGCUCUGUUUAAUAAAAAAAAAUGAAUUAUUUAUUUCUCUUUAUUGUAGAAUAAAAAUUUAAAAUUUGACAGUAAAAAUAUAAAUGAAUUAAAGCUAGAAUCAAAUUGAGGAUAAUUAAAAUAAUACUUAGAGUAGGGUUUGAAUCUGGUGAUACUAAGGGGAAUACUAACGGUGAAAGCUUUUUAUCUAGAAAUGAUUGACGCUGAGAAACGAAGGUGAGAAUAGGAAAUAGGAUUAGAUACCCAGAUACCUCUCACAGUCAACGAUGAAUGGUGGUUGUUAGUUAGUUUAAUUUAACUGAUAACGAUGUUAACACGAUAACCAUUCCGCCUUGCGAGUACGGUUGCAAAACUGAAACCAAAAAAAUUAGUCGGUCUCGAAGCAAACGAAGUGAAGCAUGUUAUUUAAUUCGAUAAUCCGCA